This 630-nucleotide non-coding RNA is filed under the name Triticum aestivum (bread wheat). RNAcentral's name for it is "Eukaryotic large subunit ribosomal RNA". It matches the Rfam family "Eukaryotic large subunit ribosomal RNA", at positions 24 to 664 of the family's 3401-position model. RNAcentral also lists the same sequence under 1 other name. The record is from Rfam by way of RNAcentral. Lineage: Eukaryota; Viridiplantae; Streptophyta; Magnoliopsida; Poales; Poaceae.
CCCACUAAGUUUAAGCAUAUAAAUAAGCGGAGGAGAAGAAACUUAGAAGGAUUCUCGUAGUAACGGCGAGCGAACCAGGAGCAGCCCAACUUGAGAAUCGGGCGGUUGUGCCGUCCGAAUUGUAUGGAGAGGCAUCCUUAGCGACAGACCGGGCCCAAGUCCCCUGGAAAUGGGCGCCUGGGAGGGUGAGAGCCCCGUCUGGACUAGACCCUGUCGCCCCACGAGGCACCGUCAACGAGUCAGAUUGUUUGGGAAUGCAUCCCAAAUCGGGAGGUAGACUCCUUCCAAGGCUAAAUACAGCCGAGAGACUGAUAGCAAACAAGUACCGCGAGGGAAAGAUGAACAUGACUUUGAAAAGAGAGCCAAAGAGUGCUUGAAAUUGCCAGGAGGGAAGCGGAUGGGGGCCGAUGAUGUGCCCCGGCUGUAUGCGAAACGGCUCUUGCUGGUCCGCUGUUUGGCUCGGGGUGUGGACUCUUGUCGGCCAUGGCGGCGGCCAAAGCCCGAGGGCCCUAAGUGCCCCCGGUGGCAGUCAUCGGCAUGACUGGUACCCGCAUGCCGAAAGGCGUGUCCCUCGGGGCACUGCGCUGCAACGGCCUACGGGAUCCCCAUCCGACCCGUCUUGAAACACAG